GAGAUAACUCCUACGGGAGGCAGCAGUGGGGAAUUUUGGACAAUGGGGGCAACCCUGAUCCAGCAAUGCCGCGUGAGUGAAGAAGGCCUUCGGGUUGUAUAGCUCUUUUGUCAGGGAAGAAACGGUAGUAGCUAAUAUCUAUUACUAAUGACGGUACCUGAAGAAUAAGCGCCGGCUAACUACGUGCCAGCAGCCGCGGUAAUACGUAGGGUGCAAGCGUUAAUCGGAAUUACUGGGCGUAAAGCGUGCGCAGGCGGUUGUGUAAGUCAGAUGUGACAUCCCCGGGCUCAACCUGGGAAUUGCAUUUGAGACUGGAUGGCUCGAGUGUGUCAGAGGUGGGUAGAAUUCCACGUGUAGCGGUGAAAUGCGUAGAUAUGUGGAGGAAUACCGAUGGCGAAGGCAGCCCCCUGGGAUAACACUGACGCUCAUGCACGAAAGCGUGGGGAGCAAACAGGAUUAGAAACCCUUGUAGUCCUCCACU
RNAcentral lists this ribosomal RNA (481 nucleotides) under uncultured bacterium. RNAcentral describes it as "bacterial SSU rRNA". It matches the Rfam family "Bacterial small subunit ribosomal RNA", at positions 329 to 803 of the family's 1533-position model. The record is from RNAcentral.